GACGAACGCUGGCGGCGUGCUUAACACAUGCAAGUCGAACGGUGAUGCUCCAGCUUGCUGGCGUGGAUCAGUGGCGAACGGGUGAGUAACACGUGAGCAACCUGCCCCAGACUCUGGAAUAAGCUCUGGAAACGGCGUCUAAUACCGGAUACGAAACUGGCCCGCAUGGGCAUGGUUUGGAAAGUUUUGCGGUUUGGGAUGGGCUCGCGGCCUAUCAGCUUGUUGGUGAGGUAAUGGCUCACCAAGGCGACGACGGGUAGCCGGCCUGAGAGGGCGACCGGCCACACUGGGACUGAGAUACGGCCCAGACUCCUACGGGAGGCAGCAGUGGGGAAUAUUGCACAAUGGGCGGAAGCCUGAUGCAGCGACGCCGCGUGAGGGAUGACGGCCUUCGGGUUGUAAACCGCUUUCAGCAGGGAAGAAGCGAAAGUGACGGUACCUGCAGAAGAAGCACCGGCUAACUACGUG
RNAcentral lists this ribosomal RNA (468 nucleotides) under uncultured bacterium. RNAcentral's name for it is "partial 16S ribosomal RNA". It matches the Rfam family "Bacterial small subunit ribosomal RNA", at positions 28 to 507 of the family's 1533-position model. The record is from RNAcentral.